CGAGCCGCGUGAGGGAUGAAGGCCUUCGGGUUGUAAACCUCUUUCGGCAGGGAAGAAGCGCAAGUGACGGUACCUGCAGAAGAAGCACCGGCUAACUACGUGCCAGCAGCCGCGGUAAUACGUAGGGUGCGAGCGUUGUCCGGAAUUAUUGGGCGUAAAGAGCUCGUAGGCGGUUUGUUGCGUCGGCUGUGAAAUCCCGAGGCUCAACCUCGGGUCUGCAGUCGAUACGAGCAAACUAGAGUGUUGCAGGGGAGACUGGAAUUCCUGGUGUAGCGGUGAAAUGCGCAGAUAUCAGGAGGAACACCGGUGGCGAAGGCGGGUCUCUGGGCAACAACUGACGCUGAGGAGCGAAAGCGUGGGGAGCGAACAGGAUUAGAUACCCUGGUAGUCCACGCCGUAAACGUUGGGCGCUAGGUGUGGGGCUCAUUCCACGAGUUCCGUGCCGCAGCUAACGCAUUAAGCGCCCCGCCUGGGGAGUACGGCCGCAAGGCUA
RNAcentral lists this ribosomal RNA (493 nucleotides) under uncultured Actinomycetes bacterium. RNAcentral's name for it is "bacterial SSU rRNA". It matches the Rfam family "Bacterial small subunit ribosomal RNA", at positions 393 to 896 of the family's 1533-position model. The record is from RNAcentral. Lineage: Bacteria; Bacillati; Actinomycetota; Actinomycetes.